UGGGGGAUAUUGCACAAUGGGGGGAAACCCCGUGAUGCAGCGACGCCGCGUGGGUGAAGAAGCGCCUCGGCGCGUAAAGCCCUGUCAGCAGGGAAGAAAAUGACGGUACCUGAAGAAGAAGCCCCGGCUAACUACGUGCC
Molecule: ribosomal RNA, 140 nt
Filed under: uncultured bacterium
Lineage: Bacteria
Description: partial 16S ribosomal RNA
Rfam family: Bacterial small subunit ribosomal RNA
Source: RNAcentral